CUGGCGGCGUGCCUAAUACAUGCAAGUCGAACGGUCUUUCUAUGGAAGCUUGCUUCCACUGAGAAGAUAGUGGCGAACGGGUGAGUAACAACGUGGGGUAACCUGCCCCAGUAAGAGGGGGGAGUAACGAUCCGGAAACGGGUGCUAAUACCGCAUAGUUUCUUGAUCGCAUGAUCGGGAAAGGAAAGACGGCCUUUGUGCUGUCGCUUAUGGAUGGACCCGCGGCGUAUUAGUUAGUUGGUGAGGUAACGGCUCACCAAGACGAUGAUACGUAGCCGACCUGAGAGGGUGAUCGGCCACAUUGGGACUGAGACACGGCCCAAACUCCUACGGGAGGCAGCAGUAGGGAAUCUUCCGCAAUGGACGAAAGUCUGACGGAGCGAACGCCGCGUGAGUGAAGAAAGGUUUUCGGAUCGUAAAACUCUGUUGUCAGAGAAGAACAAGUUGGAGAGUAACUGCUCCAGCCUUGACGGUAUCUGACCAGAAAGCCACGGCUAACUACGUGCCAGCCGCGGC
This 516-nucleotide ribosomal RNA is filed under the name uncultured bacterium. RNAcentral describes it as "bacterial SSU rRNA". It matches the Rfam family "Bacterial small subunit ribosomal RNA", at positions 36 to 518 of the family's 1533-position model. The record is from RNAcentral.